This 468-nucleotide ribosomal RNA is filed under the name uncultured bacterium. RNAcentral describes it as "partial 16S ribosomal RNA". It matches the Rfam family "Bacterial small subunit ribosomal RNA", at positions 28 to 507 of the family's 1533-position model. The record is from RNAcentral.
GACGAACGCUGGCGGCGUGCUUAACACAUGCAAGUCGAACGGAAAGGCCCUGCUUUUGUGGGGUGCUCGAGUGGCGAACGGGGGAGUAACACGUGAGUAACCUGCCCUUGACUGUGGGAUAACUUCAGGAAACUGGGGCUAAUACCGGGUAGGAGCUCCUGCUGCAUGGUGGGGGUUGGAAAGUUUCGGUGGUUGGGGAUGGACUCGCGGCUGAUCAGCUUGUUGGUGGGGUAGUGUCUUACCAAGGCUUUGACGGGUAGCCGAGCUGAGCGGGUGACCGGCCACAUUGGGACUGAGAUGCGGCCCAGACUCCUACGGGAGGCAGCAGUGGGGAAUAUUGCACUAUGGGCGGAAGCCUGAUGCAGCCACGCCGCGUGCGGGAUGACAGCCUUCGGGUUGUAAACCGCUUUCGCCUGUGACGAAGCGUGAAUGACGGUAAUGGGUAAAGAAGCCCCGGCUAACUACGUG